CUACUUUGUUUCAUUUGUCAAACUGUUAUUCAAAUAGAAAAAAUAUAAAUGUUAAUUUUUUGACGUACAUGUGUAUACAGUUGAAGGGAAAGUAAUUGAACCUGCUGGGGAUUUUUUCAUGUUAACUGUCAUCACCCGAGGUGGUAAAGGAUAAAGAAAAGGAAAUUAAUGAGAUCUCAAGAACCAUAAAACAAGAUGCCUGCUGAUGCCUUUGGUUUCUUUGACGUGUAGGCGGCAAAGAUGAAAGGAAAAUAAUUCCCAAUUAAUUCAGUUUAGGCUUUAAAUUAAGUUAAAAAUUAUGCCGUCGUUUUUUAAUCGUCUUCGGAUCAGUAGUAUAGAUUUUUUUUAUCCAUUUUAUUGUAUGCUUUGGAAUUGUUCAAUAAAUAAAUAAAAAAGUC
Anthonomus grandis grandis is the source of this 398-nucleotide long non-coding RNA. RefSeq lists it as uncharacterized. The record is from RefSeq and is a predicted model, not a curated record. Lineage: Eukaryota; Metazoa; Arthropoda; Insecta; Coleoptera; Curculionidae. The transcript is spliced from 2 exons.